GGGAAGUGAUUCUUGUGUGUGUGUGCCAAAGUCCUUAAUAAGGUACGGGUAGAAAAAAAAAAGAGUGAAAAGAAAAAAGUUUGUUAAAAAAGGGUCCAAAAUAUUGAAUUCGGCCCUAAGUGUUGCUUGAAUCUUCCAUUUGUGUUUAAAAGUUAAUUUCUGCAUUAUUAAGUGAAUUCCAAGUGUCUAUUUCAUUACUUUGCUUGUUAUCGCUUUAAGAACGUUUGCUAUCCCUAUCCUUUCUUUGUUAGCCAUUACCCCCAAGCCCCGUUACAACCCUUGACUUCAAUCUUGAGUGUUUUGUGUUUCAAUUCGUGGAGUUUGAAAUUGGUAUGAGCAUAUAGUGUCACUGGUUCUCGCAUCUAAGUAGUAGCAUUCCAUUCAUGAGAUCAUAUCUAAACAUGCUUAUUAACUCCAAAAAUUGCUUUCUUUGUUAUAACAUAUGUGAGUACUAGUCUUCCAUGUUUACAUCAAUCUGCUCACAUAUAACUAGUGUAGGGUGUGUAGUCAGAAAAUGUGUGUGAAAAUAAAGAGUAUCUUGUAAGGAAUUGAGCAAAUUCUCUAAGGCAUGUUACUACAUUCAAAAUAUCGUUUUAAUUGGUUAAUUGUGAACUAGUAAGUGGUGACUGUAAUUAAGUAUGUGCUCAAGUGUGAAGAUAACUAAAAGCUGUGGGAAUGAUGAUUUUUAACAGGUCAUGUGCAUUGGAAAUCCCUGAGGCAAAUGUUGGAAGGUUAAGUUGUGUUCUGUUUGUUUUGAUUCGUUUGUUUUUUUUGUU
RNAcentral lists this long non-coding RNA (776 nucleotides) under Malus domestica (apple). RNAcentral describes it as "long non-coding RNA (MDOM_LNC010466)". The record is from RNAcentral. Lineage: Eukaryota; Viridiplantae; Streptophyta; Magnoliopsida; Rosales; Rosaceae.